Molecule: ribosomal RNA, 413 nt
Filed under: uncultured bacterium
Lineage: Bacteria
Description: bacterial SSU rRNA
Rfam family: Bacterial small subunit ribosomal RNA
Source: RNAcentral
UGGGUUUGACUAUCACGGAUGCCCUCUCCGAAAGGGGAGUAAGCUGCCUUCGGGUGAAACGUGACCAGGUGCUGCAUGGCUGUCGUCAGCUCGUGUCGUGAGAUGUUGGGUUAAGUCCUUUAACGAGCGAAACCCUUAUCGUUAGUUGCCAGCGCGUUAUGGCGGGGACUCUAACGAGACUGCCGGUGUCAAACCGGAGGAAGGUGGGGAUGACGUCAAGUCCUCAUGGCCUUUAUGCCCAGGGCUGCACACGUGCUACAAUGGGACGGACAAACCGACGCAAUACCGCGAGGUGGAGCAAAUCGGAAAAACCGUUCCUCAGUUCGGAUUGCAGGCUGCAACUCGCCUGCAUGAAGUUGGAAUCGCUAGUAAUCGCAGAUCAGCUAUGCUGCGGUGAAUAUGUUCCUGAGCCU